UACGUAGGGUGCAAGCGUUGUCCGGAAUUAUUGGGCGUAAAGAGCUCGUAGGCGGUUUGUCGCGUCUGCUGUGAAAACCCGAGGCUCAACCUCGGGCCUGCAGUGGGUACGGGCAGACUAGAGUGGCGGUAGGGGAGAUUGGAAUUCCUGGUGUAGCGGUGGAAUGCGCAGAUAUCAGGAGGAACACCAAUGGCGAAGGCAGAUCUCUGGGCCGUAACUGACGCUGAGGAGCGAAAGCGUGGGGAGCGAACAGG
This 254-nucleotide ribosomal RNA is filed under the name uncultured bacterium. Its description in RNAcentral is "partial 16S ribosomal RNA". It matches the Rfam family "Bacterial small subunit ribosomal RNA", at positions 524 to 776 of the family's 1533-position model. The record is from RNAcentral.